This 1546-nucleotide ribosomal RNA is filed under the name metagenome. RNAcentral describes it as "bacterial SSU rRNA". It matches the Rfam family "Bacterial small subunit ribosomal RNA". The record is from RNAcentral.
AGAGUUUGAUUCUGGCUCAGAACGAACGCUGGCAGCGUGGAUCAGGCAUGCAAGUCGAACGAGAAUCCACGGGUUCAAUCCUUCGGGAGAGAAACUGUGGAAGAGAGUGGCGAAAGGGUGAGUAUCGCGUGGGUAAUCUACCGCUGAGUUUGGGAUAACCUGGCGAAAGCCGGGCUAAUACCGAAUGUGGUCUCCUGUCGCAUGGCGGGAUGACCAAAGAUGGGGACCUUUCGAGGCCUGUCGCUCAGUGAGGGGCCCGCGUCCUAUCAGCUUGUUGGUGAGGUAACGGCUCACCAAGGCUUACGGGUAGCUGGUCUGAGAGGAUGGUCAGCCACACUGGGACUGAGACACUGCCCAGACUCCUACGGGAGGCUGCAGUCGAGGAUCAUUCGCAAUGCGCGAAAGCGUGACGAUGCGACGUUGCGUGGGGGAUGACGGCCUUCGGGUUGUAAACCCCUGUCAUUCGGGAGCAAUGGUUCCGGGGUCAAUACCCUCGGGAUUCGAUAGUACCGAAAGAGGAAGCCACGGCUAACUCUGUGCCAGCAGCCGCGGUAAUACAGAGGUGGCGAGCGUUGUUCGGAUUUACUGGGCGUAAAGGGUGUGUAGGCGGUCGCGUAUGUCGGAUGUGAAAUCUCACCGCUCAACGGUGAAACUGCAUUCGAAACCGUGUGACUAGAGUACAGGAGAGGAAAGCGGAAUUCUUGGUGUAGCGGUGGAAUGCGUUGAUAUCAAGAGGAACACCGGUGGCGAAGGCGGCUUUCUGAAUGUUACUGACGCUGAGACACGAAAGUUGGGGUAGCAAACAGGAUUAGAUACCCUGGUAGUCCCAACCCUAAACGGUGUGCACUUGGUGUGGGAGGAUUUGACCCCUUCCGUGCCGGAGCUAACGCGUUAAGUGCACCGCCUGGGGACUACGGUCGCAAGACUAAAACUCAAAGAAAUUGACGGGGGCCCGCACAAGCGGAGGAGCAUGUGGCUUAAUUCGAUGCAACGCGAAGAACCUUACCAGGGCUUGACAUGCAGCUGCACGUCCGUCGAAAGGCGGAAAGCCUACGAGGGUGCUGCACAGGUGCUGCAUGGCUGUCGUCAGUUCGUGCCGUGAGGUGUUGGGUUAAGUCCCGCAACGAACGCAACCCUUGUGUCUAGUUGCCACCGCAGGUGAUGAGCCUGCGAGCACUCUGGACAGACUGCCCGUGUAAGCGGGAGGAAGGUGGGGAUGACGUCAAGUCAGUAUGGCCUUUAUGCCCUGGGCUGCACACGUGCUACAAUGGUCGGUACAAUGGGAUGCAAUACCGCAAGGUGGAGCCAAUCCACAAAACCGGCCCCAGUUCGGAUUGGAGUCUGCAAUUCGACUCCAUGAAGUUGGAUUCGCUAGUAAUGGCGCAUCAGCUACGGCGCCGUGAAUAUGUUCCCGGGCCUUGUACACACCGCCCGUCACAUCAUGAAAGCUCUCUGCACCCGAAGUCGCUGUUCUAACCUCGAUUUUAAUCGAGGAGGAAGGCGCCGAAGGUGUGGGGAGUGAUUGGGAUGAAGUCGUAACAAGGUA